AACGAACGCUGGCGGCAUGCCUAACACAUGCAAGUCGAACGAGACCUUCGGGUCUAGUGGCGCACGGGUGCGUAACGCGUGGGAACCUGCCCUUAGGUUCGGAAUAACUCCCUGAAAGGGGUGCUAAUACCGGAUAAUGUCUUCGGACCAAAGAUUUAUCGCCUUUGGAUGGGCCCGCGUUGGAUUAGCUAGUUGGUAGGGUAAAAGCCUACCAAGGCGACGAUCCAUAGCUGGUCUGAGAGGAUGAUCAGCCACACUGGGACUGAGACACGGCCCAGACUCCUACGGGAGGCAGCAGUGGGGAAUAUUGGACAAUGGGCGAAAGCCUGAUCCAGCAAUGCCGCGUGAGUGAUGAAGGCCUUAGGGUUGUAAAGCUCUUUUACCCGGGAUGAUAAUGACAGUACCGGGAGAAUAAGCUCCGGCUAACUCCGUG
RNAcentral lists this ribosomal RNA (433 nucleotides) under uncultured bacterium. RNAcentral describes it as "partial 16S ribosomal RNA". It matches the Rfam family "Bacterial small subunit ribosomal RNA", at positions 29 to 507 of the family's 1533-position model. The record is from RNAcentral.